CGUAUGUAACCUACCUUUAUCAGGGGGAUAGCCUCUCGAAAGAGAGAUUAAGCCCGCAUAACAUCACAUUAUGGCAUCAUGGAGUGAUCAAAUAUUUAUAGGAUAAAGAUGGGCAUGCGGAACAUUAGCUAGUUGGUAAGGUAAUGGCUUACCAAGGCUACGAUGUUUAGGGGAUCUGAGAGGAUGACCCCCCACACUGGUACUGAGACACGGACCAG
Molecule: ribosomal RNA, 218 nt
Filed under: uncultured bacterium
Lineage: Bacteria
Description: partial 16S ribosomal RNA
Rfam family: Bacterial small subunit ribosomal RNA
Source: RNAcentral